GGAGGAUAGCCCGGGGAAACUCGGAUUAAUACUCCAUAAGAUUUUGAUUGGCAUCGAUUAAAAUUGAAAGAUUUAUUGGAUAAGGAUAGGCAUGCGUCAGAUUAGUUAGUUGGUAGUGUAACGGACUACCAAGGCGAUGAUCUGUAGGGGGCCUGAGAGGGUGAACCCCCACACUGGUACUGAGACACGGACCAGACUCCUACGGGAGGCAGCAGUGAGGAAUAUUGGACAAUGGAGGGAACUCUGAUCCAGCCAUCCCGCGUGCAGGAAGACGGCCCUAUGGGUUGUAAACUGCUUUUGUAUGGGGAUAAAUCUACUUACGUGUAGGUGGUUGAAGGUACCAUACGAAUAAGCAUCGGCUAACUCCGUGCCAGCAGCCGCGGUAAUACGGAGGAUGCAAGCGUUAUCCGGAUUCAUUGGGUUUAAAGGGUCCGUAGGCGGGCUGAUAAGUCAGUGGUGAAAUUUUGUCGCUCAACGAUAAAACUGCCAUUGAUACUGUUAGUCUUGAGUGAUAUUGAAGUAGCUGGAAUGUGUAGUGUAGCGGUGAAAUGCAUAGAUAUUACACAGAACACCGAUUGCGAAGGCAGGUUACUAAGUAUUAACUGACGCUGAAGGACGAAAGCGUGGGGAGC
RNAcentral lists this ribosomal RNA (632 nucleotides) under Ornithobacterium rhinotracheale. RNAcentral describes it as "bacterial SSU rRNA". It matches the Rfam family "Bacterial small subunit ribosomal RNA", at positions 138 to 769 of the family's 1533-position model. Lineage: Bacteria; Pseudomonadati; Bacteroidota; Flavobacteriia; Flavobacteriales; Weeksellaceae. The record is from RNAcentral.